UUCUCCCUUCUCCCUUCUCCCUUCUCCCUUCUCCCUUCUCCAAGUACUGAAUUUCUGCCCGCGCAACCCCAGCGCCCUUUCCACAAGUUUUAUUUUGAAGACCGAGUCCGCCUCAGCCUUCAGCUCUAUGUUCUCUUGAAGUGAACCCUCCGGGUCUUAGAGCCUUAACUUCGUAGCUUCCCUAGGAGCUCCUCUCAGGUCCAGAUAUACAAAGGAGCAGCCUGGGAGCACCGAGCAGCAUCCUCCCUGAGAAUUCUUCCAGACACCAGAUCUUCCCGUUCCUGCUGUUCUCAUGGACAAGGUUGGGGACAGGCCUCACCCAGUCUUUCAAGAACCCCAUUCCUCAAUGUAGUGCCAUUUCAACUGCAUUUUAAUAAAUAAAGACUGCCUGAA
This is a non-coding RNA of Myodes glareolus (Bank vole), 393 nucleotides long. The record is from RefSeq and is a predicted model, not a curated record. NCBI's taxonomy places the organism in Eukaryota, Metazoa, Chordata, Mammalia, Rodentia, Cricetidae.